UCCCGGAUAUAUUAUUGUUUUUAGCUAGUAAUAUACAUGCCAGCUUCCCCACCCCAGUGAAAACGCCCACUUUUGGCUUGACCCCACAUGUGGGGCCGGUAUCAGGCACGGUUAAGAACCAGCCCAACACACCUAGCCACGCCACCCCCCCACUGGGCCUCAGCAGUAAUAAACACUAAGCACUGAGCUAACGCUUGACUUGGUAAUAGCUACCCUGGGCCGGUAAACCCCGUGCCACCACCGCGGUUACACGAGGGGCCCUAAACAACGAACAUCGGCGUAAAGCGUGACUAGAGCGUGAACUUAUUUUCAGGACUUUAAAACUAUAGUGAAGCUGUAAAACGCUGUAUACUAUUAGGAAUUCACCAUGAAGCCCUACUCAUAAAAACCUUGACCCCACGAAAACUAGGAUCCAAACUAGGAUUAGAUACCCUACUAUGCCUAGUUGUAAAAUUAGACGGAGCCACUUCGCUCGCCAGAAAAUUACACGCAACCAGCUUAAAACUCAAAAGACUUGACAGUAUUUCACAUCGACCUAGAGGAGCCUGUCCUACAACCGAUAACCCACGAUCAACCUCACCCACCUUUGCAACAACAGUCUAUAUACCUCCGUCGCCAGCCCGCCUGAAAACAGAUACAAAGCGAGUGCAACAGUUCAUCACUAAGACGACAGGUCAAGGUGUAACUAAUAGGUUGGGCAGAGAUGGGCUACAUUUCCUAACAUAGAAAAUACCCACCCGCCAUGAAAUUUGCGCAAAAAGGUGGAUUUAGCAGUAAGUCAGGCAAGAAAAGCCCACCUGAAAACCGCCCUGAAAUGUGUACACACCGCCCGUCACCCCCCUCAACAGCAGCAACACAAUAAAUAAUACCCC
Molecule: non-coding RNA, 872 nt
Filed under: Uroplatus sameiti
Lineage: Eukaryota; Metazoa; Chordata; Lepidosauria; Squamata; Gekkonidae
Source: RNAcentral